RNAcentral lists this ribosomal RNA (301 nucleotides) under uncultured bacterium. RNAcentral's name for it is "partial 16S ribosomal RNA". It matches the Rfam family "Bacterial small subunit ribosomal RNA", at positions 509 to 809 of the family's 1533-position model. The record is from RNAcentral.
CAGUCGCCGCGGUAAUACGUAGGUGGCAAGCGUUGUCCGGAAUUAUUGGGCGUAAAGCGCGCGCAGGCGGAUCAGUUAGUCUGUCUUAAAAGUUCGGGGCUUAACCCCGUGAUGGGAUGGAAACUGCUGAUCUAGAGUAUCGGAGAGGAAAGUGGAAUUCCUAGUGUAGCGGUGAAAUGCGUAGAUAUUAGGAAGAACACCAGUGGCGAAGGCGACUUUCUGGACGAAAACUGACGCUGAGGCGCGAAAGCCAGGGGAGCGAACGGGAUUAGAUACCCGAGUAGUCCCUGUCUCUUAUACA